CAGCAGCCGCGGUAAUACGUAGGUGGCAAGCGUUGUCCGGAAUCAUUGGGCGUAAAGCGCGCGCAGGCGGUCCUUUAAGUCUGAUGUGAAAUCUUGCGGCUCAACCGUAAGCGGUCAUUGGAAACUGGGGGACUUGAGUGCAGGAGAGGAAAGCGGAAUUCCAUGUGUAGCGGUGAAAUGCGUAGAGAUAUGGAGGAACACCAGUGGCGAAGGCGGCUUUCUGGCCUGUAACUGACGCUGAGGCGCGAAAGCGUGGGGAGCAAACAGGAUUAGAUACCCUGGUAGUCCACGCCGUAAACGAUGAGUGCUAAGUGUUGGAGGGUUUCCGCCCUUCAGUGCUGCAGCUAACGCAUUAAGCACUCCGCCUGGGGAGUACGGUCGCAAGGUUGAAACUUAAAGGAAUUGGCGGG
RNAcentral lists this ribosomal RNA (410 nucleotides) under uncultured microorganism. Its description in RNAcentral is "bacterial SSU rRNA". It matches the Rfam family "Bacterial small subunit ribosomal RNA", at positions 509 to 917 of the family's 1533-position model. The record is from RNAcentral.